UCUCCGUUGGUGAACCAGCGGAGGGAUCAUUAUAGAGUUUUAUAACUCCCAACCCUUUGUGAACCUAUACCUAUCUGUUGCCUCGGCGCAGGCUGGGAGCUUCUGUAAACUCCCCCCCGCGGACUCACCUCUGCGCGGAGCAGGCCCGCCGGCGGCCCCACCAAACUCUUGUUUUUAGUGUCUCUUCUGAGUUAAACAAACAAAUGAAUCAAAACUUUCAACAACGGAUCUCUUGGUUCUGGCAUCGAUGAAGAACGCAGC
This 261-nucleotide unclassified non-coding RNA is filed under the name uncultured fungus. RNAcentral describes it as "sequence contains ITS1, 5.8S rRNA gene". The stretch from base 213 to 261 matches the Rfam family "5.8S ribosomal RNA", at positions 1 to 49 of the family's 154-position model. Lineage: Eukaryota; Fungi. The record is from RNAcentral.